AUUGAACGCUGGCGGCAGGCCUAACACAUGCAAGUCGAGCGGUAGCACAGAGAGCUUGCUCUCGGGUGACGAGCGGCGGACGGGUGAGUAAUGUCUGGGAAACUGCCUGAUGGAGGGGGAUAACUACUGGAAACGGUAGCUAAUACCGCAUAACGUCGCAAGACCAAAGUGGGGGACCUUCGGGCCUCAUGCCAUCAGAUGUGCCCAGAUGGGAUUAGCUAGUAGGUGGGGUAACGGCUCACCUAGGCGACGAUCCCUAGCUGGUCUGAGAGGAUAACAAGCCACACUGGAACUGAGACACGGUCCAGACUCCUACGGGAGGCAGCAGUGGGGAAUAUUGCACAAUGGGCGCAAGCCUGAUGCAGCCAUGCCGCGUGUAUGAAGAAGGCCUUCGGGUUGUAAAGUACUUUCAGCGGGGAGGAAGGCGAUAAGGUUAAUAACCUUGUCGAUUGACGUUACCCGCAGAAGAAGCACCGGCUAACUCCGUGCCAGCCGCCGCAGUAA
RNAcentral lists this ribosomal RNA (504 nucleotides) under uncultured bacterium. RNAcentral's name for it is "partial 16S ribosomal RNA". It matches the Rfam family "Bacterial small subunit ribosomal RNA", at positions 30 to 523 of the family's 1533-position model. The record is from RNAcentral.